UAGACCCGUGAUGUCAACUGGUGGCAAAUGAAUUAUAGGCAAUGAAUACUAUGUGUCUUACUUCCAA
Capra hircus (goat) is the source of this 67-nucleotide small nucleolar RNA. Lineage: Eukaryota; Metazoa; Chordata; Mammalia; Artiodactyla; Bovidae. The record is from Ensembl.